This 987-nucleotide ribosomal RNA is filed under the name Acinetobacter pittii. RNAcentral describes it as "bacterial SSU rRNA". It matches the Rfam family "Bacterial small subunit ribosomal RNA", at positions 1 to 987 of the family's 1533-position model. Lineage: Bacteria; Pseudomonadati; Pseudomonadota; Gammaproteobacteria; Moraxellales; Moraxellaceae. The record is from RNAcentral.
CCAGAGUUUGAUCAUGGCUCAGAUUGAACGCUGGCGGCAGGCUUAACACAUGCAAGUCGAGCGGAGAGAGGUAGCUUGCUACUGAUCUUAGCGGCGGACGGGUGAGUAAUGCUUAGGAAUCUGCCUAUUAGUGGGGGACAACAUUUCGAAAGGAAUGCUAAUACCGCAUACGUCCUACGGGAGAAAGCAGGGGAUCUUCGGACCUUGCGCUAAUAGAUGAGCCUAAGUCGGAUUAGCUAGUUGGUGGGGUAAAGGCCUACCAAGGCGACGAUCUGUAGCGGGUCUGAGAGGAUGAUCCGCCACACUGGGACUGAGACACGGCCCAGACUCCUACGGGAGGCAGCAGUGGGGAAUAUUGGACAAUGGGCGCAAGCCUGAUCCAGCCAUGCCGCGUGUGUGAAGAAGGCCUUAUGGUUGUAAAGCACUUUAAGCGAGGAGGAGGCUACUUUAGAUAAUACCUAGAGAUAGUGGACGUUACUCGCAGAAUAAGCACCGGCUAACUCUGUGCCAGCAGCCGCGGUAAUACAGAGGGUGCAAGCGUUAAUCGGAUUUACUGGGCGUAAAGCGCGCGUAGGCGGCUAAUUAAGUCAAAUGUGAAAUCCCCGAGCUUAACUUGGGAAUUGCAUUCGAUACUGGUUAGCUAGAGUGUGGGAGAGGAUGGUAGAAUUCCAGGUGUAGCGGUGAAAUGCGUAGAGAUCUGGAGGAAUACCGAUGGCGAAGGCAGCCAUCUGGCCUAACACUGACGCUGAGGUGCGAAAGCAUGGGGAGCAAACAGGAUUAGAUACCCUGGUAGUCCAUGCCGUAAACGAUGUCUACUAGCCGUUGGGGCCUUUGAGGCUUUAGUGGCGCAGCUAACGCGAUAAGUAGACCGCCUGGGGAGUACGGUCGCAAGACUAAAACUCAAAUGAAUUGACGGGGGCCCGCACAAGCGGUGGAGCAUGUGGUUUAAUUCGAUGCAACGCGAAGAACCUUACCUGGCCUUGACAU